CCUCCAUCGUCGCCAUGUUUGUUAUCGUCUGAAACUGAUGGCAGAACUUGGAGGUCAACUCUGAGCUCUGCACCGCUCUCUAAUGGAUGUUUUACCUCCAAC
Long non-coding RNA from Melanotaenia boesemani (Boeseman's rainbowfish), 102 nucleotides. RefSeq lists it as uncharacterized. The transcript has 4 exons. NCBI's taxonomy places the organism in Eukaryota, Metazoa, Chordata, Actinopteri, Atheriniformes, Melanotaeniidae. The record is from RefSeq and is a predicted model, not a curated record.